Cornus florida is the source of this 77-nucleotide small nucleolar RNA. RefSeq annotates it as small nucleolar RNA R12. The record is from RefSeq and is a predicted model, not a curated record. Lineage: Eukaryota; Viridiplantae; Streptophyta; Magnoliopsida; Cornales; Cornaceae. The transcript has a single exon.
AUGAUGGAUGAUGAAAUAAAUCAGACGGAUUCCCAAUGAUUUAUACAUGAUAUCACAACCAGCUACUUCUGACUCAU